RNAcentral lists this ribosomal RNA (253 nucleotides) under uncultured bacterium. Its description in RNAcentral is "partial 16S ribosomal RNA". It matches the Rfam family "Bacterial small subunit ribosomal RNA", at positions 524 to 776 of the family's 1533-position model. The record is from RNAcentral.
UACGAAGGGGGCUAGCGUUGUUCGGAAUUACUGGGCGUAAAGCGCGUGUAGGCGGCCAGGUAGGUCUGCUGUGAAAACUCGAGGCUCAACCUCGAGAUGUCGGCGGAAACCAUCUGGCUAGAGUCCGGAAGAGGAGAGUGGAAUUCCUGGUGUAGCGGUGAAAUGCGCAGAUAUCAGGAAGAACACCCGUGGCGAAGGCGGCUCUCUGGGACGGUACUGACGCUGAGACGCGAAAGCGUGGGGAGCGAACAGG